Long non-coding RNA from Ficedula albicollis (Collared flycatcher), 3655 nucleotides. RefSeq lists it as uncharacterized. The record is from RefSeq and is a predicted model, not a curated record. NCBI's taxonomy places the organism in Eukaryota, Metazoa, Chordata, Aves, Passeriformes, Muscicapidae. The transcript is spliced from 5 exons.
UAUUUUUUAUUUUUUUUCCUAAAUAAAUGGAAAGCAGAGCUGUCGCUGAUGGAGAUGGAUGAGGCAGGGCUGGAAGCGCCGCAGCCCUGCUCCGGCGUGGCCCUGGCACCGACGGCAUAAGUGACCUUUCCCAGGCGGUGGGAGGGGGGAUUCCCCCCCUGCUCCAGCAUGCUUCUGCUCGGAAUUCAUUUUAAAUAGCAGGAGUAUUAUUUUUUAUUUUUCUUCCCCCCGCCCCUCCCAUUUCUCCUUCACUGUUUUUGUUUUGGUUUGGUUUUUUUCCCCGAAGCUUCCUCAUGAUCUUUUAUUUUCUUCCUGUGUGUGUUUUGAAUUGCGUUUUAAAAUUGCCCAGCUGGAGACAAGGCUUGAUUAGAGCUGGAACAAUAGCUCCCUUUUAUUAAUAACGGGAAGGAUUUACAAUCAUACAGCACCUUCCUUGGAAAGCUUUCCAAACCAUUUACAAACACUCACAAAUUUCAGAUUGUGCAGCCCUUGGCUGUGAGAUGGUCCCUAAGUGACCUCCUGCAGUGCUGCCUGCACUGCGGUUCCACCGCAGCUUUGCACUGGAGCACUGAUGUUUGUCCCUGUGAGCCAGAGUGACCUUGCUGGGGGUACUUGGGCCCACCGAGCGAUUCAGGUGCUGUGCUUUGAUCCCAAAUCCCUGCACCUUGCUUUUUUCCAGCACAUCCCCUCACUCAGGGGGAUGCUGCAGUUAUGGGUUAAAGCUGUUUCAUGCCUUUUUUUUUUUUUUUCUCAGUUGGUUUGGUUUGGAUUUUUUCUUCUUCCUCCUUUUUUUUUUUUUGGUUUGUUUGUUUAUUUCCAAGGGAAACAAUAUAUUGUUUACAUAACCCCUCUCCUCAGCAGAUCCCUCCAAACCAAGCAGGGAUCCAGGAGUCACCCAGGCAGUGGGAUCUGGCCUUUCCAGAAGCAUGAGGGACAAGGCUCCAGCUGUAUCUGCGUGUCACACACAGGCCACACAAACCCGCAGUGUUCCUGUGGUUACUUCUGUCUGCAGAGCUGCUGGAAUGUGCAUUGGCAGGUAUGCAAAUGUGGAGACUGUAACAGCAGCGAAUGAGGAUGGAUGAGCUGUUUUCUGGGGUCACAUCCAACUCCAGAGAAGAAACCCUGGUGAUUUACAAUUUUUUUCUUGUCUCUGCCUGGAAGGCCACAGUCCUGUCUAGUGACGAAAUCCCUGUUUGGGGAGAACCCUUGUGAGGUGAGCAGACACAGUUGGGGGCAAGGGGAGGCAGGGCAAAGACUGGCACUGUGAUAUUCCUAUUUUUUCCCGACAACAGGCUAAAAAAAAGGUGCUAUUUCUAAUAUAUCCACCACACCAUAAGUGAGAGUAAACUCUUUUGCUGUUCUGUGUUGGCAUAUAGGAUUUGGUUGUGUGGCUCAACCAUCACACUGGGUUCUGCUGCUGAAGAAACCUCUGGUUCUUUGUAGAAGGAAUUUUAAAAACAGCAAUGUGUUUUUAUAUAGAGAUAAAAAUGGGUUCAAUGUCAACUGAAGUUCAGAGGCUCCUGUAUACUGGGCUGUGGGAUGUGACUGGUGCUAAGCCACUGGCUAAAAUGGUGGCAUUUUGUGGCAGCUCCCAUCCCUGGCACUGUGCAUAAGAACACAGGGAAGAGCAUCAGAAAAUAGAUUACUGAAUUCUGCAUUUCAAAAACAUGAAGGGAGUUUUCUGCACAGAGUCAUCUCAUCAGGAAGAUAUGGAGCACUAACCCUCAGAAAGAACUGAAAUCAAGAGCUUUAUUAAUAUAAAUCCUGUGCUUUGUGUUGGUUAAGGCUCCAGAACCCGGCUCUGUGCUCCAAGUGUUUUCAGCCCCUAAGCUGACAGCCUCUGGCUUGGCAACAAAUGGGCCUAAAUAUCAAACAGCACCAAUUCUUUCCUGGAAAAAAAUGAGCAUAAAGAAGAAUGGGUAAGCUAUAAAAUUAGGCCAAUAAUUCAGGCUGGCUUAAAAAGGAGAUAAAAGCCUAGCUGGGAAUUUGAUAUUCGUCUGUCAUAGUGUUCUUUUAAUAAAUACAAUCAAUGAGCAAGGAAGGCACGUAAAUACAUUUUACCUUGACAAGAUGGUGGCUGGCUCAAACAAAGGAACGCUCUGAGUGUUUCUUGGGGCUCUUUGCUGUAAAACCCUUUUCUUGCUUUUUUACAAAAAGCAUAGAAACUGGCUGUGCACUGGUGGUGGGGAUAAUCCUCGUGUUCCCACUCAGAUCCCCGUGAAUCCCGGCUGAUGUAGCCAGGGAGAGAUGUAAUAUCCCCCCUUCCCAGCACGACACACAGAGGUGUUGCUGUGCCAGACCUGAGGGUAGGAAGCUAGAGUCUGAGCAAACAGAACCCUGGUUGCUGUCCUUGCUCAGUAUCUCAUCUUUGGUUUUUGAGCAGUCUCAGCAACGCAUGGCAGCUCUGCCACUCGGGAAAGGCACUGUGUUCAAAAUGGAUAAACCUGCCUUUUGAAGCAUUGUGUCUGCCCACUUCUAUUUAUUGGUUUUUCCUCCUCAAAGAGAGGCUGCUGUGUGGACCUCAAAGAUGUUUUCUGCUUCUCCUGCCCUUUUUUUUUCCCCUUCAAACUGGAGAGCUGCUAACUUUAUUAGCUCCUUAUAUGGCAGCCCCAUUUUCUCACGCCUUUAAUGGCUCUCUUUUGAUCUAUCCUGUUCUUGCCUUGCUUUUCCUGAACGUGGUGCUCAAGCUGAGAUAGGUUUAUAACCUGCUGCCUCACUAAUAAAUGGCCUGGCCCUUUAAUUCUCUCCAAGCACCGAUAAGAAACAUCCAAAUGUUUUAACUGUGGGGUUGGCUGAGAUGUCCGGAGAUAGCCGGGCUCUCAGCUACACCCUCCCAGGAAUAAUUUCAAUUGUUCCUUGCAUGUGUAUCCCAAAGGCCAAGGGCCAUCGGGUCAUGGAACAGCUCAAGCCCCCUUGUCCUCAGCUGUUUGGCCCCUGGGAAGGGCAACACACAGGGCAGUGCAUCCGUGUCUGGGCACUCAUCACGCUGUUGCUGAUGGCAGGACACUGGGCUGGCACAAACGUGUGUCUGUUCUGCAGACACCAGGAUGGUGCUGGUCCUUCCUCACAGCCCCUCUGGCCUGCUGAGGGGAGGGUUAUACCUGCUCUGGUCUCCAGCCUGGGUCUGUGUUCUUUAAAAUCUUCAGCUGAACUGGGGGGGAUCUGGUUACAGCAGCAUCGCUGGUGCGGUCACAACUAGGAACAGUUUCCCUGCAAGCCAUUGGGAAAGUAUCAUGAUGGCUCAAAGCUUUGUUUUGCAUCACCAGCAGAGCUUUGUGCUCCUCUUCCAGCUGGCUGUUGUGUAAAUGGAACCCUCCUGGCACUCGUCUCAACCCUCUCCUGUCAACAGAGUCGAUGGCUUUGUUUGCGACAGCGCCCAGCCCCUGUGUGUCCUGUGAGAUGGCCGGGUGACAGCAGGGACUCCACGUGAGAUUCCCUGGAAGGAGCUGGGAGCUGGCGUGGUUUCCUCGUGUCCCUUGGAGAUGCCACCCCAGCAGGGAGGAAGAACGCUUGGAAUUGCAGUUGCAGCAAGUGCACUGCAUCAGGGAGGGAGAAUUUGUCAUGGAAAGCAGGUAGAAUGGAAAGCAGAGCCCAGUUCCACACUGGAAGCGCCGGUGAAGCGUGUUGGCAUCGCAUUUUCUUGUGCGCACGUGGC